ACCAAGACCAGUUCCCACCCUUUGGAGCUUUGAGUGGAGCAAACAGACCAAAACAAAAACAGAACAAAACUGAUCAUCAUCAAAGCCAUGAAGGAAAGGAAUAGGGUGAGAUGGUGGGUAAGAGAACUUGUGUGAGGGGCGCUACUUUAGUAAGUGUGGCCUGAGGAGAAAGACCUCUCUGAGAAGAGGACAUUUUGAGUGAAGAGAGGCUGAGUCUUGCAAAAGCUCCAACAGAAGAACUGGUUUCAGAUGUUGGAGGCACGGAAACAACCCCAAGCACGGCUUGAACCUGGUAAAACACGGGGAGAGGGAACUGAGAUUGGUCAGCAAGGAGGGAUCACGAUAAGCCACAGAGAAGAGAUGCCGAUGCUGAUCUCCAGAUACCUGCUGGGUGUCUGCACAUCAUCUUAGCAACUCAGGAGGCUCUCACAGCAUCAGCCUCUUGAAGUUCGAAAAUGUCUGCAUCACCAGGGACCUGGGUUGAUCCACAUCCCAGAAUAUGCCAGGCUUCAGAGAUGCCCAGCUCUGUUGUUCAAAGAGUUUUAUUAAAAAUUGGUGAGGAGAGAAAAGAAGUCUCUGAGGGCCUGUCUGAUUUCAUUAUCUCUGACAGAGCACACAGAUGGAGCAGAGCCCCAGAGGGCCAAGGAGGCUGCCCUCCGCGGCGCUGGGUGAUGCGCAGGCCUCUGGAGCCGCGGAUACUGAAUCCAGAUGUCCUCGUCUGCUGGCAUCUCGCACAGAUCCCUCAGACGCUCAGUGUGUAACCUGGCGUCGACUUCUCAAUCAUCAAUCCCCAGCAUUCUAGUCGGAAGAUGGACACCCAUAGAUCCCCAAAUUUUCAUUUGUUUCAGUAAUGUAACUUCUACUGUUGCUCCUUGCAUUAGCAAAACUCUGUUCUCUAGUGGUUCUCUCUGUAAGUUCUACUCCCCUGCGGCUUUCAUGGAUAGCCUGAAUCUAGCAUUCUGCAAAGAGCGGGUGCUACCAUUGAGAUUGCAAUCCAGACAACAGUUGAAUCCUCUAAGGUCCGGACACAGACCACACAAGAUCCUUAAAGGCAGGGACACACCAGAUGCCACCGACUAAAAUGGAAGAAGAGACUGGCUUGUAUGUUCUGUAAGAAGAAGCCCUCGGUCAUGUAAAGAU
Molecule: long non-coding RNA, 1140 nt
Organism: Phyllostomus hastatus (greater spear-nosed bat)
Lineage: Eukaryota; Metazoa; Chordata; Mammalia; Chiroptera; Phyllostomidae
Exons: 3
Source: RefSeq, a predicted model, not a curated record